GAUGUUAGCGGCGGACGGGUGAGUAACACGUGGGUAACCUGCCUGUAAGACUGGGAUAACUCCGGGAAACCGGGGCUAAUACCGGAUGCUUGUUUGAACCGCAUGGUUCAAACAUAAAAGGUGGCUUCGGCUACCACUUACAGAUGGACCCGCGGCGCAUUAGCUAGUUGGUGAGGUAAUGGCUCACCAAGGCGACGAUGCGUAGCCGACCUGAGAGGGUGAUCGGCCACACUGGGACUGAGACACGGCCCAGACUCCUACGGGAGGCAGCAGUAGGGAAUCUUCCGCAAUGGACGAAAGUCUGACGGAGCAACGCCGCGUGAGUGAUGAAGGUUUUCGGAUCGUAAAGCUCUGUUGUUAGGGAAGAACAAGUACCGUUCGAAUAGGGCGGUACCUUGACGGUACCUAACCAGAAAGCCACGGCUAACUACGUGCCAGCAGCCGCGGUAAUACGUAGGUGGCAAGCGUUGUCCGGAAUUAUUGGGCGUAAAGGGCUCGCAGGCGGUUUCUUAAGUCUGAUGUGAAAGCCCCCGGGCUCAACCGGGGAGGGUCAUUGGAAACUGGGGAAACUUGAGUGCAGAAGAGGAGAGUGGAAUUCCACGUGUAGCGGUGAAAUGCGUAGAGAUGUGGAGGGAACACCAGUGGCGAAGGCGACUCUCUGGUCUGUAACUGACGCUGAAGAGCGAAAGCGUGGGGAGCGAACAGGAUUAAAUACCCCGGUAGUCCACGCCGUAAACGAUGAGUGCUAAGUGUUAGGGGGUUUCCGCCCCUUAGUGCUGCAGCUAACGCAUUAAGCCCUCCGCCCGGGGGAGUUACGGUCGCAAGACUGAAAACUCAAAGGAUUUGACGGGGGGCCGCCCACCCGUGGAAACAUUUGGUUUA
RNAcentral lists this ribosomal RNA (882 nucleotides) under Bacillus subtilis. Its description in RNAcentral is "bacterial SSU rRNA". It matches the Rfam family "Bacterial small subunit ribosomal RNA", at positions 88 to 948 of the family's 1533-position model. Lineage: Bacteria; Bacillati; Bacillota; Bacilli; Caryophanales; Bacillaceae. The record is from RNAcentral.